GCCGAAGUGGUGGAAUUGGUAGACACGCUACCUUGAGGGGGUAGUGAGCUUAUGCUCGUGGAGGUUCAAAUCCUCUCUUCGGUACCA
RNAcentral lists this transfer RNA (87 nucleotides) under Flavobacteriaceae bacterium. RNAcentral describes it as "tRNA-Leu". It matches the Rfam family "tRNA". From Rfam's summary of the family: Transfer RNA (tRNA) molecules are approximately 80 nucleotides in length. Their secondary structure includes four short double-helical elements and three loops (D, anti-codon, and T loops). RNAcentral also lists the same sequence under 1 other name. Lineage: Bacteria; Pseudomonadati; Bacteroidota; Flavobacteriia; Flavobacteriales; Flavobacteriaceae. The record is from RNAcentral.